CGCGUAGGUGGUAGUGUAAGUCUGAGGUGGAAUCCUAUGGCCUUAACCAUAGAACUGCCUUGGAUACUGUAUUACUUGAGUCAGUGAGGGGAGGGUAGAAUUCCUGGUGUAGCGGUGAAAUGCGUAGAUAUCAGGAGGAAGGCCUGUGGCGAAGGCGGCCCUCUGGCGCUGGACUGACACUGAGGCGCGAAAGCGUGGGGAGCAAACAGGAUUAGAUACCCUGGUAGUCCACGCCCUAAACGGUGGGCACUAGGUGUAGGGCUCCGUAAGGGUUCUGUGCCGAAGGGAAACCAUUAAGUGCCCCGCCUGGGGAGUACGGCCGCAAGGUUAGAA
This 333-nucleotide ribosomal RNA is filed under the name uncultured bacterium. Its description in RNAcentral is "bacterial SSU rRNA". It matches the Rfam family "Bacterial small subunit ribosomal RNA", at positions 568 to 899 of the family's 1533-position model. The record is from RNAcentral.